This 252-nucleotide ribosomal RNA is filed under the name uncultured bacterium. Its description in RNAcentral is "partial 16S ribosomal RNA". It matches the Rfam family "Bacterial small subunit ribosomal RNA", at positions 524 to 776 of the family's 1533-position model. The record is from RNAcentral.
UACGUAGGUCCCGAGCGUUGUCCGGAUUUAUUGGGCGUAAAGCGAGCGCAGGUGGUUUAUUAAGUCUGGUGUAAAAGGCAGUGGCUCAACCAUUGUAUGCAUUGGAAACUGGUAGACUUGAGUGCAGGAGAGGAGAGUGGAAUUCCAUGUGUAGCGGUGAAAUGCGUAGAUAUAUGGAGGAACACCGGUGGCGAAAGCGGCUCUCUGGCCUGUAACUGACACUGAGGCUCAAAAGCGUGGGGAGCAAACAGG